RNAcentral lists this long non-coding RNA (307 nucleotides) under Fukomys damarensis (Damara mole-rat). RNAcentral's name for it is "lncRNA (ENSFDAG00000023365.1)". Lineage: Eukaryota; Metazoa; Chordata; Mammalia; Rodentia; Bathyergidae. The record is from RNAcentral.
UCAGCAUCUCAGAGACAGACUACAGCCUUGAAGACACCAUGUCCUCCCGAAGGAGGCUCAGCAGCACUCAUGUACAGGGGAAAAGCUGUCCCGUGGACCAAGGAUACAACCCUCAGCUGAGAACCACAGGCAGCACAGAAUAAACAGGGGAAGAAGAAUGCAAAGUUGCCCUAUAUUGGAAGACCUCCAGCCUGUGCUCUUGCCUUUGAACAUUGGUCCCAUUUCUUAAGCCUCUCAGUGAAGAUUCUCCAGCUUUCCAUUGUACACUUGCACCCGUGACUGCAUAGCCAACUUCCAAGCCUUUGAC